Molecule: ribosomal RNA, 292 nt
Filed under: uncultured bacterium
Lineage: Bacteria
Description: partial 16S ribosomal RNA
Rfam family: Bacterial small subunit ribosomal RNA
Source: RNAcentral
GUGCCAGCCGCCGCGGUAAUACAGAGGGUGCAAGCGUUGUUCGGAAUUAUUGGGCGUAAAGCGCGUGUAGGCGGCUUGUCAAGUCGGGUGUGAAAGCCCUCAGCUUAACUGAGGAAGUGCGCCUGAAGCUGACGAGCUUGAGUGCCUGAGAGGGUGGCGGAAUUCCGCAAGUAGAGGUGAAAUUCGUAGAUAUGCGGAGGAACACCGGUGGCGAAGGCGGCCACCUGGCAGGUAACUGACGCUGAGACGCGAAAGCGUGGGGAGCAAACAGGAUUAGAAACCCCCGUAGUCC